This 240-nucleotide unclassified non-coding RNA is filed under the name Hevea brasiliensis (rubber tree). The record is from RNAcentral. Lineage: Eukaryota; Viridiplantae; Streptophyta; Magnoliopsida; Malpighiales; Euphorbiaceae.
CAAAAAUCAACCACAAUUUCAAACAUCUCAUUGGAAUUUUUUCCAAAAAGCAGCAGCAAAAGCUUUAGAUAUAGUAGAAAGCGCGUUAGUCUCACGCGAACUACAAAACCCACUUCCCAAAACAGCUGACCCACGUGUACAAAUCGCCGGAAACUUUGCUCCGGUACCGGAGCAAUCAGUCCGGCAUAACCUUCCCGUUACAGGGACGAUCCCUGAUUGCAUUAAUGGGGUUUAUGUCAG